This 448-nucleotide long non-coding RNA is filed under the name Erythranthe guttata (spotted monkey flower). RNAcentral describes it as "long non-coding RNA (EGUT_LNC002325)". The record is from RNAcentral. Lineage: Eukaryota; Viridiplantae; Streptophyta; Magnoliopsida; Lamiales; Phrymaceae.
ACAAAUUUACUAGUAAAAGACCGAGAUGGAGAAAUUUCAUUAAUCAUAAAAAACAGGCAUAAACAUUAUUUUCAUUUAGAGAGUACAACGAGUGUGACAUUGAUAAUAUAAUCCAGAGGACUAAUUAAUCAAUCACGAUUAAAACUUCCUCCCAAUUAACCUUCGAUUUUUCUGAGCUACUGGGGGCGCGUUAACACAAAUGCAAUUUCCGUUAUCGCAAGCUGGUUCUCCUCUACAGCCCCAAGGUAGACAAUCGCUACCCUUCUCACAGUAUGCCUCGGAAACUUGGCCACCUAACAAUUUAAAAAAAGAAAAACGAGCUCAUAUCUUGAUGUAUUAGCGAAUUAAUUAUAUAUUCAUAAGAUUGAAUAAUCUUACACGAUAAGAGAGGGAUACUUACCGAAGGCGACUAGCAAGAAAGUGACCAAGAAAACAACCUUAAUCGUAU